Molecule: unclassified non-coding RNA, 371 nt
Filed under: uncultured bacterium
Lineage: Bacteria
Description: contains 16S-23S intergenic spacer region
Source: RNAcentral
UCCGGCUUAUCACCGGCAGUUUCUUUAGAGUGCCCAACUAAAUGGUAGCAACUAAAGACGAGGGUUGCGCUCGUUGCGGGACUUAACCCAACAUCUCACGACACGAGCUGACGACAGCCAUGCACCACCUGUCACCCGGCCACAAGGGGGGCACCAUCUCUGAUGCUUUCCGGGCGAUGUCAAGCCUUGGUAAGGUUCUUCGCGUUGCGUCGAAUUAAACCACAUCCUCCACCGCUUGUGUGAGCCCCCGUCAAUUCCUUUGAGUUUCACCCUUGCGAGCGUACUCCCCAGGUGGAAUACUUAUCAGGUUACCUACGGCACUGAUCCUUACGGACCAACACCAAGUAUUCAUCGUUUAGGGCGUGGACUAC